GAAGUAGGCUCGACGUCGGAUGUAGAUGUGUAGUGAGUGAGGAGACGAUAGAGAAGGAGAGAAUUGUCUGCCAAAUGUCUUCUUCCAUUCGGUACAUAAAUAGACAGUUUUAGACGGAAGUUUUGGCCUCCAGACAGACGAUGAUGGGCCCGUCUAGUUUGAGGUGGUCCGUUGUGAUAAUCUUCCUGGUCGAAUUGUGUUGCCUCCUCUGCAGAGCCUUCAAACAACCGUCCAGAUCCACACAUCUCCGUUUGGUGCACAGUCUGUCCAAUUCCACAGCAUAUUUCCUCGAGAAUGAUUACUACAUAACAUCCAACAGCAUGAAAGGUGAGUUAAAUUCGAACCAUAAUUUUAUAUAUCGUACUUAGAGUACAAAAAUAACAGAACGAAAAAGAAAAUCGAUAGCACUCAUCUGGUUAAUUUUUCGAAACGGUAAUUUGUAUUAACACCACGUUGGCAACAGAGUUGAGUAAUAAACGAGAUUGGGCAUAUUGCCUAAAUGCUACUUAAGAAAUUUCUACGCGAUGUUUUACCAUUACACUGGGUCGAAUUUUGAUUUUUUUUUACUGCUUCCACAUUUGCAUAAUUUAUAGAUUGUAACAGAAUAGUAAGCAAGGAUGUGUUCAAUUUUUUACGCUUUUCAAAGCUCUAAAAUUAACGAGUCGGCUUGCUUGCUUGUAAAUAUUGAUUUUCGCAAAUCUAAUUAUUUUUUCCCUCUCAGAAUUUUGUUUAAUUUAAAUAAGAGUUACAGAGUGUUAUUCUUUGGAAAAUCAAUAGCAGAUAAGAGGCUCUUUUCAGUGUUUUCCCUGUCACGCAGUGUCCCCCCGUGAAAAAAAACAGACCCAAUCAGUGACUGAGCCUCUCAAGGACGUUGUAAAUGUUGUAUACCUGCAGCAAUGGAUGGAGGCACGUGUUUUGUACUGCCGUAUAAUUGAGAGAGAGAGAGAGGGAACAAUGGAAACCAUCCUCCAUCGUGUCCAGAAAACUGGUUAGCUUUCCUAUUGUCAGAAAAGCGGCGUAGCAACUUUUUCACGCGAAAAAAUCAAAAAAUUUUGUAAAUUUUCCGAGUUUUAAAAAAGAAAAACAAAAUUUAAUCAUCUCGCUCCCAUAUUUCUCGAUCAAUAAUUUUGCCUACUUAUAAAGUAUUUCUAUCCGCUUCUGCCGCUUUCUUUCGCGAUUAGAUACUAAGCUCUUAAGAGGCCCUCCUCCGUCUUUAUGAAGUUGACAAGUUGUGAAAGGACAAAACCUGAUUGGAUUAUCUCUAAGAAGUUAAUCUAAAAUCGGAUUUGUUGAAAUGCGAUGAAAAAUCGAUUUCUAAAUCCUUCAAAAAAUCCGUGUAAUGUUAAAAAAUAAUCGAUUAUAAUUGAGAGUUUUUUUGGUCGGCUUCUUUCUUAGAGAAAUCGUCCAAAUUUAUUAUCUAAAUUUCAGAAC
Molecule: long non-coding RNA, 1431 nt
Filed under: Androctonus crassicauda
Lineage: Eukaryota; Metazoa; Arthropoda; Arachnida; Scorpiones; Buthidae
Source: RNAcentral